GACGAACGCUGGCGGCGUGCUUAACACAUGCAAGUCGAACGGAAAGGCCCUGCUUUUGUGGGGUGCUCGAGUGGCGAACGGGUGAGUAACACGUGAGUAACCUGCCCUUGACUUUGGGAUAACUUCAGGAAACUGGGGCUAAUACCGGAUAGGAGCUCCUGCUGCAUGGUGGGGGUUGGAAAGUUUCGGCGGUUGGGGAUGGACUCGCGGCUUAUCAGCUUGUUGGUGGGGUAGUGGCUUACCAAGGCUUUGACGGGUAGCCGGCCUGAGAGGGUGUCCGGCCACAUUGGGACUGAGAUACGGCCCAGACUCCUACGGGAGGCAGCAGUGGGGAAUAUUGCACAAUGGGCGGAAGCCUGAUGCAGCCACGCCGCGUGCGGGAUGACGGCCUUCGGGUUGUAAACCGCUUUCGCCUGUGACGAAGCGUGAGUGACGGUAAUGGGUAAAGAAGCACCGGCUAACUACGUG
This 468-nucleotide ribosomal RNA is filed under the name uncultured bacterium. RNAcentral's name for it is "partial 16S ribosomal RNA". It matches the Rfam family "Bacterial small subunit ribosomal RNA", at positions 28 to 507 of the family's 1533-position model. The record is from RNAcentral.